AACGAACGUUGGCGGCGCGCCUAACACAUGCAAGUCGAACGGGAAAAGCCUUCGGGCUGAGUACAGUGGCGCACGGGUGAGUAACACGUGAAUCAUCUACCUUCGGGCCCGGGAUAACAUUCCGAAAGGAGUGCUAAUACCGGAUAAGACCACUAAGUGAGAAAAGAUGGGGACUGGAAACAGCCUGUCACCUGAAGAUGAGUUCGCGGCCUAUCAGCUAGUUGGUAAGGUAAUGGCUUACCAAGGCUAUGACGGGUAGCUGGUCUGAGAGGAUGAUCAGCCACACUGGAACUGAGACACGGUCCAG
RNAcentral lists this ribosomal RNA (307 nucleotides) under uncultured bacterium. RNAcentral's name for it is "bacterial SSU rRNA". It matches the Rfam family "Bacterial small subunit ribosomal RNA", at positions 29 to 334 of the family's 1533-position model. The record is from RNAcentral.